RNAcentral lists this ribosomal RNA (489 nucleotides) under uncultured bacterium. Its description in RNAcentral is "partial 16S ribosomal RNA". It matches the Rfam family "Bacterial small subunit ribosomal RNA", at positions 28 to 507 of the family's 1533-position model. The record is from RNAcentral.
GAUGAACGCUAGCGGGAGGCCUAACACAUGCAAGCCGAGCGGGAUUUGUUGGUUAGCUUGCUAACUAACAAUGAGAGCGGCGUACGGGUGCGUAGCACGUGUGCAACCUGCCUUUAUCUGGGGGAUAGCCUUUCGAAAGGAAGAUUAAUACCCCAUAACAUAUUGAUUGGCAUCAGUUAAUAUUGAAAGCUCCGGCGGAUAGAGAUGGGCACGCGUAAGAUUAGCUAGUUGGUGAGGUAACGGCUCACCAAGGCUGCGAUCUUUAGGGGGCCUGAGAGGGGGAUCCCCCACACUGGUACUGAGCCCCGGACCAGACUCCUACGGCAGGCAGCAGUGAGGAAUAUUGGACAAUGGGUGAGAGCCUGAUCCAGCCAUCCCGCGUGAAGGACUAAGGACCUAUGGUUUGUAAACUUCUUUUAUACAGGGAUAAACCUCCUCUCGUGAGGGUAGCUGAAGGUACUGUAUGAAUAAGCACCGGCUAACUCCGUG